UAUAAACUCUGAAUACAUCUUGUGAACAAACUAGUACAGUCAUAUAAAUAAAGGAUUAAAAAGUUGCCAACAAGACUUGCCUUUGAAAUUAAGUGGAGUAGAGGUGUAAACACAAAACUGUAAACACUCCAAUCUUUUGCUAGGGUGCAGAAGUGAAACAGUUUGCUUACCUUUCAUAUCCCAUAUAUGCAUAAACAGAAACUUACUUAUCCAAGCAUUUUGUCAGGUAUGAAUGUUCAGAAGAACUCAAAAUUAGACAGGGAGCAGGUCGAGUUCAAAUGUUUCAGCACUGAGAAAAGCGUGCGGCGCUCAAUUAGCUCGUGUUGCGGCACCACCACCCACAGACAGCUGCAGAAAGGUGCAAAAGGUGAAUUGUUGUCUUUCUUACAAGAGAAAAACACAAGCAUAGAAGAGACACAGAAGUAAAAAUUAUAAGGACUAUUUAAGCAGAGUGUAGGCAGUGACAGACGCAGCUGCGGUAAACACAAAAUUAAAAACAUUUAUAGCUUUCUGGGUUUUUUAAAAUCAUUAUUAUUAUAUUAUGAAGAUUCAAAGUUUAAAAAGACAGGCAGGGAAGAGUAGAACAAAAUGAGAUAAACUUCCUUACAUCUCUCACAUAAAUUCACCAGCUGUCUAACUACUCUCACUUUAUGUUUACUAUCGGUCUGAAGCAGAGUGCUAAUGUAGCGUAGCUAAACAGCCCAACGCCGUCUGCUGAGAGUGGACCUCUUAUGUUGCCAAGGUGCUGACGGUAAAAAUACCCAGAGGAACCUUACAAGCCAAUGGGUGCCAUCAUGGUGGCUACGUCAUCGUUUACACUGCCAAAGCUGUGAGUUUGCACAGUCCCAGCAGCACACCUUCAUCGCAGCGUCCACCGAUGGAGACACGGUUGGAGAGGCGGCUGGAGCGUGCCCUGUUUCACACAGAGAGAAGUGGCUCCUCAGAGGCGCAGCUGCUGAGCAGACCACGGAGAAUAAUGUGCACACAAAAAACAGGAUAAAACCUUUGGUGAGGAUUUGAGCUUCACUUGAGAAAACAUCACGACAAAUGCAAAAGAAAUCAGUUUAAAGUUGAGAAAAAGAAUUGUCGAUGUUCAUAAAGCAGGAAAUGGAUAUUCAAAGUUAUCACUGCGUUUCCAAGUGUCAAGAACUGGAGUGAGAAGUACCAUCAAGAAAUUCAGAGCCAAACAGUACAGAACAAGCCUGGCAGAGGUAGGAAGUGAAAGAUUGAAACGCCUCUGUAAAGAAAACUGGUGAGAGAUGUGUCUGAAGACCCCAGAACAACUGCCAAGACACAAGUGCAUGACUUAGCCAAGACGAACCAAGAAAAGACAAUUACUAGGACCCACUUCUGGAGAAGAGGCACCUUCAAGCCAGACUGAAGUAUGCUUCAGUCUGGCUCAAAGUUGCACAACCUGGAGAAUGAGUAUGCAUACUCAUGUGCUUUGAACAGAUGAGAUAAGACCGGAGCUUUUUGGCUACAGAGAUGCUGCUUAUGUUUGAGUAAAGAACGGAGAGGCGUACAACCCACAGUGAAACACGGAGGUGGGAGUUUUAUGCCGUGGGGAUUCUUCAGUGUGUCUGGAUUUGGGAUUUUCGUCAAGGUGGAAGGAAUAAAGAAGAAGGGAAGAUGUGUGAAAGAAAACCUCAAGCCAUACUAAAUGAUAAACUUGGUCUGGGUCUUUGCUUUGUCUUCCAAAACGACAAUGACACGAAACAUACGUCCCUCCUGGUGAAGAACCACCUCCACAACACCAAAGUGAGCAAUACUGACAGGCUUGCACAAAGCUCAAGCUAAAGUCCAACAUAUUUGGAGAAGACUCAAAGAAGAGAUAUUCCAAGAAGAAUGAAGUCAGGAGACGUGUGUGAAAACUUGUUGAAAACUGUGAUAAAGUACUGCAGCCUGAAUAUAAGCAUCAGGAGGCCGAACAAUUGUGUUCUCAUCUGUAUUGUUGUGUUAAGCUAAAAAAAAAAGCCCAUUAAAAGCAAGUUAAUAUCUGAGAGCUGAGGGAUGCAUAAAGGUUUGUAAAUGCAUCAUCAGAAGAAGCUGAAAAAUGGUUUAUUGGUUUGAGUAAUUAUGAUGUGCAGCAGUUUAUGAUUUCAGAGAUCACUAAAGUCCCUGUUAGUCAGAGGUUGGACGUACAGUGCGUGGGGGGCUCAGGGCAGCGGUAGAGGAUUUUUCUAACCAAUAACAACAACGUGCAACAGCGAGUCAUAAGCAACAACCACAAUUCAUUGCGCCUCACCUACAGUGAGUUAUUACAGCUGAUUCAAUAAAGCUGGAGGAUUCACGGGAGAGAGAAUUAGUCAGAAUUAGUGUGGUGUAACAUCAUACAUUUCCCCCUAAUGCACGUUGAUAGCAUCUUUAAUUAGAGUCCCUUGCCUCCUGAACUUGUUUCAAACGCAUCCAGUAUUAAAUGCAGGCUUUCUAUUAAAAUGUAAAACGCUCGAGUGAAACGGCACCACGAGCACAUUAUUAUGGCUCUAUUUUUCAAACUUUGGAAAGCUUCUCCAGAGCUACAGACGAUAUCGCACGGCUGUUUUUAACA
Molecule: long non-coding RNA, 2548 nt
Organism: Oreochromis aureus
Lineage: Eukaryota; Metazoa; Chordata; Actinopteri; Cichliformes; Cichlidae
Exons: 3
Source: RefSeq, a predicted model, not a curated record